AGUAAAUUAUACUGGAGAAUUUAUAUAUAAUACCACGAGGGAAAAUACCAACAAUCGACCACCGAAAGCUAUGUUGGUUUACCAAGCAGGAGAAACGACCCCCCAAGAAAUGAUGACGCUCAAGUACACGGAUCCAGAUACUCACCUCUGCAGUGUGUUUGCUCUUUCCUCCGUUGGACAAGAGCUAACUGAUGAUUUUCAGAACUGCGAAAUGCACAUAAGAGACAGUGGCGUUGAAAGUGGGCCAACACCAAGUUGCCAUAAUUACUUCAAGGAAAAAUGUUCUGGCACUGAAUAUCGCCCGUACAGCUCUCACUGCAAGAAUAAAGGUAACGAGGAUAUCCCCACUCAGUAAAAAAGUGCAGUGAAUAAAUGACCACCGAAAGAAGACCGAUCAUGGACUGUUGUAAGCUUCAGUCCCCGAAAUUGUCAUCCCUAAUUGUAUGCUUGUAUCUCAUGUUUAAAUAACCAGAUAGAAAAAGGCGAAAGUAUUGAAAAUUAGUUAAUAAAGUGAAAGCGAACAUAUGCAGUGCAAGAAUAAAUGUUCU
This is a long non-coding RNA of Dermacentor andersoni, 548 nucleotides long. RefSeq lists it as uncharacterized. NCBI's taxonomy places the organism in Eukaryota, Metazoa, Arthropoda, Arachnida, Ixodida, Ixodidae. The record is from RefSeq and is a predicted model, not a curated record.